RNAcentral lists this ribosomal RNA (386 nucleotides) under uncultured bacterium. Its description in RNAcentral is "bacterial SSU rRNA". It matches the Rfam family "Bacterial small subunit ribosomal RNA", at positions 28 to 416 of the family's 1533-position model. The record is from RNAcentral.
GACGAACGCUGGCGGCGUGCUUAACACAUGCAAGUCGAGCGGUAAGGCCCUUUCGGGGGUACACGAGCGGCGAACGGGUGAGUAACACGUGGGUGACCUGCCCUUAGCUCUGGGAUAAGCCUGGGAAACUGGGUCUAAUACCGGAUAUGACUCCAUGACGCAUGUUGUGGGGUGGAAAGCCUUGUGCGGCUAGGGAUGGGCCCGCGGCCUAUCAGCUUGUUGGUGGGGUGAUGGCCUACCAAGGCGACGACGGGUAGCCGGCCUGAGAGGGCGACCGGCCACACUGGGACUGGGACACGGCCCAGACUCCUACGGGAGGCAGCAGUGGGGAAUCUUGCGCAAUGGGCGAAAGCCUGACGCAGCGACGCCGCGUGGGGAUGACGGCC